UCCUAUGUUGCGUUCUCGGAGCU
RNAcentral lists this non-coding RNA (23 nucleotides) under Rattus norvegicus (Norway rat). Lineage: Eukaryota; Metazoa; Chordata; Mammalia; Rodentia; Muridae. The record is from RNAcentral.